Molecule: ribosomal RNA, 253 nt
Filed under: uncultured bacterium
Lineage: Bacteria
Description: partial 16S ribosomal RNA
Rfam family: Bacterial small subunit ribosomal RNA
Source: RNAcentral
UACAGAGGUCUCAAGCGUUGUUCGGAUUCAUUGGGCGUAAAGGGCGCGUAGGCGGGAUGGCAAGUCGGUCGUGAAAUCCUUCGGCUCAACCGAAGAACGUCGGCCGAUACUGCUGUUCUUGAGGGAUGCAGAGGAGAUUGGAAUUCCCGGUGUAGCGGUGAAAUGUGUAGAGAUCGGGAGGAACACCGGUGGCGAAGGCGGGUCUCUGGCUCGAUACUGACGCUGAGGUGCGAAAGCGUGGGGAGCGAACAGG